AAAAAUAUAGGUUAAUUAAAGACCGUUAGUUUUCAAAACUAAUAGUACCUUAUAGGUUAUUUUUG
Molecule: transfer RNA, 65 nt
Filed under: Syndesmis kurakaikina
Lineage: Eukaryota; Metazoa; Platyhelminthes; Rhabdocoela; Umagillidae
Description: tRNA-Trp
Rfam family: tRNA
About the family: Transfer RNA (tRNA) molecules are approximately 80 nucleotides in length. Their secondary structure includes four short double-helical elements and three loops (D, anti-codon, and T loops).
Source: RNAcentral